RNAcentral lists this ribosomal RNA (465 nucleotides) under uncultured bacterium. RNAcentral describes it as "bacterial SSU rRNA". It matches the Rfam family "Bacterial small subunit ribosomal RNA", at positions 28 to 507 of the family's 1533-position model. The record is from RNAcentral.
GACGAACGCUGGCGGCGUGCCUAACACAUGCAAGUCGAGCGAGUGAAUCUCCUUCGGGAGUGAAGCUAGCGGCGGACGGGUGAGUAACACGUGGGCAACCUGCCUCAUAGAGGGGGAAUAGCCUUUCGAAAGGAAGAUUAAUACCGCAUAAGAUUGUAGCUUCGCAUGAAGUAGCAAUUAAAGGAGCAAUCCGCUAUGAGAUGGGCCCGCGGCGCAUUAGCUAGUUGGUGAGGUAACGGCUCACCAAGGCGACGAUGCGUAGCCGACCUGAGAGGGUGAUCGGCCACAUUGGGACUGAGACACGGCCCAGACUCCUACGGGAGGCAGCAGUGGGGAAUAUUGCACAAUGGGGGAAACCCUGAUGCAGCAACGCCGCGUGAGUGAUGACGGCCUUCGGGUUGUAAAGCUCUGUCUUCAGGGACGAUAAUGACGGUACCUGAGGAGGAAGCCACGGCUAACUACGUG